UGCAGCCUGGGAUGCGUCACGUCCGGAUCCUCCCCCUUUUUCUGUUUUGUUUCAGCGGUUUCAGCCUGUCUUUUCAUCGGUUUGUGUGUUUCUCCGGAUGCUGUUUUGGAUGCGAUUACUGCCUUCCUUUCAGUUUUACCAGCGGGUUAUUUGAAGGCUGUGUAUCCUGAGCGGUGAACUGAUUGUAAAACGCGUCUAUCCGCAUUUGGUAAGUUUUGUUGGGUUUACGGGGGGGAAUUUCGGCGUGUGAUUGUGCAAUUAAUAGUAACCCUGUUUUGUGUUUGUAUCAUUCAUGCAUGCUAUAGGAUUCUCCCUUUCGUCCUGGGCGAUUAUUAUUGCAGCUCGGUUCUGUCUUCCGCAGCGCGCCGAGCGAACAAUAUUGGAUUACAACUAUUUAAAGGGACUUCUGCUGCUGCCGUCUGGUUUCUGUGAUUUGUUUUAACUGAUUUUUUUUGGUUUACUUUGGGGUGGACGAUCGUACAUUUAUUGGGGCUGGCCUAAGGACGACGUGGCCGCUCCUUCGAGUCCUGUUUUCCUCAAACUUUUAACAGUUUUUUUUUUUGUUUAUUUUGUUUCUUUUGUAGAUUUGUAUAUGGUGACUUGUACUGUGCUGUGGUGAC
Megalobrama amblycephala (Wuchang bream) is the source of this 620-nucleotide long non-coding RNA. RefSeq lists it as uncharacterized. The transcript is spliced from 3 exons. NCBI's taxonomy places the organism in Eukaryota, Metazoa, Chordata, Actinopteri, Cypriniformes, Xenocyprididae. The record is from RefSeq and is a predicted model, not a curated record.